GAAGCAUGUAAUUAUUCUAAGAAAAAAGAAGAAGAGAAGAAUCAAACGAACAUAUAACUCCAUCUAGUUGUAUGUUCUCGCAUCGCAUGGAUAUUAAUUAGCGUCCAUCUAGUUGUUCUCGCAUCACAUGGAUAUUAAUUAGCGAGACAGAAUCUAUUGAGCCUCUCAUGAAACCCUCUUCCUAGUCUUGAUGGUUACUAUAGAUGUGCUGGUAUCAUCAAGGAAAUAAAAAAAAAAUUCAAAGGGUCGAUAGGAGAGAAGAAAGGUACAUGAUUGUGCACAUGCUUCAUGCCUUCGAUGAGAUUUCGAGCCCAAUAUCUGACUCUAAUGCCAGAAGACAGGCAAUAUAUCUAUUUGGUUCGUUUUCCUCCGGAUCGUCAGGGCAAUUAAAAAAAUACUUUUUCAACAUGUUAGCAG
Ziziphus jujuba (common jujube) is the source of this 417-nucleotide long non-coding RNA. RefSeq lists it as uncharacterized. The transcript has 3 exons. The record is from RefSeq and is a predicted model, not a curated record. Lineage: Eukaryota; Viridiplantae; Streptophyta; Magnoliopsida; Rosales; Rhamnaceae.